Long non-coding RNA from Pseudopipra pipra, 337 nucleotides. RefSeq lists it as uncharacterized. The transcript has 2 exons. Lineage: Eukaryota; Metazoa; Chordata; Aves; Passeriformes; Pipridae. The record is from RefSeq and is a predicted model, not a curated record.
UUUUGUGAUUGGAUUCUUUGUACUAGGUGUCAUUGUGAAAUGCUUUUUCUUGGUUUGCAUGUUAUCUCCGUAAAAGCCUUUUUGCCAAAAUGCCUAUUUUCUCACCAAAUUAAAGGUAGUUAUUAUCAUUCAUGAAAAUUUUUGUAGGCACAUAAAAAAUGGAUGUCAGGGGGCUUUCAAAAACGAGGACUGUAAAUGCAUGGCAAACUUGGUACAGAAGAAGGACUUCCAUCUUCCUUACAACUAAUUGUUGCUUUGGAUUACUCCAGUCCAAGUGUUGGACUUUGUAUUUAUCUUUGUGAAAUCUCAUGCAAACAUUAAAAACCAACUAGAAGUA